AGAGUUUGAUCCUGGCUCAGGAUGAACGCUGGCGGCAUGCCUAAUACAUGCAAGUCGAACGAGAGGAAGGAAAGCUUGCUUUUCUGAAUCUAGUGGCGAACGGGUGAGUAACACGUAGGUAACCUGCCCAUGUGCCCGGGAUAACUUCUGGAAACGGAUGCUAAAACCGGAUAGGUAGCAGACAAGCAUUUGACUGCUAUUAAAGUGGCUAAGGCCAUGAACAUGGAUGGACCUGCGGUGCAUUAGCUAGUUGGUGAGGUAACGGCCCACCAAGGCGACGAUGCAUAGCCGGCCUGAGAGGGCGGACGGCCACAUUGGGACUGAGACACGGCCCAAACUCCUACGGGAGGCAGCAGUAGGGAAUUUUCGUCAAUGGGGGGAACCCUGAACGAGCAAUGCCGCGUGAGUGAAGAAGGUCUUCGGAUCGUAAAGCUCUGUUGUAAGAGAAAAACGACAUUCAUAGGGAAUGAUGAGUGAGUGAUGGUAUCUUACCAGAAAGUCACGGCUAACUACGUGCCAGCAGCCGCGGUAAUACGUAGGUGGCGAGCGUUAUCCGGAAUGAUUGGGCGUAAAGGGUGCGUAGGUGGCAGAACAAGUCUGGAGUAAAAGGUAUGGGCUCAACCCGUACUGGCUCUGGAAACUGUUCAGCUAGAGAACAGAAGAGGACGGCGGAACUCCAUGUGUAGCGGUAAAAUGCGUAGAUAUAUGGAAGAACACCGGUGGCGAAGGCGGCCGUCUGGUCUGUUGCUGACACUGAAGCACGAAAGCGUGGGGAGCAAAUAGGAUUAGAUACCCUAGUAGUCCACGCCGUAAAC
RNAcentral lists this ribosomal RNA (815 nucleotides) under uncultured bacterium. RNAcentral's name for it is "bacterial SSU rRNA". It matches the Rfam family "Bacterial small subunit ribosomal RNA", at positions 8 to 807 of the family's 1533-position model. The record is from RNAcentral.